UCCGAGUUGACCCCGGCAGUCUCCUAUGAGUCCCCGCCAUAACGCGCUGGCAGCAUAGAACGAGGGUUGCGCUCGUUGCGGGACUUAACCCAACAUCUCACGACACGAGCUGACGACAGCCAUGCAGCACCUCCACGGCAGCCCCGAAGGGAAGCUCCAUCUCUGGAGCGGUCCGCCGCAGUUCAAACCCAGGUAAGGUUCUUCGCGUUGCGUCGAAUUAAACCACAUGCUCCACCGCUUGUACGGGCCCCCGUCAAUUCCUUUGAGUUUUAGCCUUGCGGCCGUACUCCCCAGGCGGGGCACUUAAUGCGUUAGCUUCGGCACGGAGGGAGUCGACACCCCCCACACCUAGUGCCCAUCGUUUACGGCGUGGACUAC
RNAcentral lists this unclassified non-coding RNA (378 nucleotides) under uncultured bacterium. Its description in RNAcentral is "contains 16S-23S intergenic spacer region". The record is from RNAcentral.